Long non-coding RNA from Gastrolobium bilobum, 263 nucleotides. RefSeq lists it as uncharacterized. NCBI's taxonomy places the organism in Eukaryota, Viridiplantae, Streptophyta, Magnoliopsida, Fabales, Fabaceae. The transcript is spliced from 3 exons. The record is from RefSeq and is a predicted model, not a curated record.
ACCAAAUUGGGGUUUUUUCUUUGAAGGACCCUUCUUUGCUUAUUCGGUGACUUUAUUGUAGGAUCACAAUUGCUCAUUUCUGUGGUGCCGAUCACAGGUUUCUUUCAAAACUUGGGUUCUUCCUCAAAUAAAAAAGCAUCAUGUACUAUAUUUUACCAAAACUGAUGCCAAGAUUUCCAAUAAUGGCAUUCCUGAGGAGGUUCAAAAACUGCGGUGCCGUGUAAAUUAAAAAGCUUUGAGAUUCACUCCACAAAUAGAACAUG